CAAAUUAGAGCUUGGGAAAGUAUUUCAUUUACAUUGAAAAGACAUUAAAUAUUUAAUUAAUUUGA
RNAcentral lists this transfer RNA (65 nucleotides) under Telchinia issoria (yellow coaster). RNAcentral's name for it is "tRNA-Val". Lineage: Eukaryota; Metazoa; Arthropoda; Insecta; Lepidoptera; Nymphalidae. The record is from RNAcentral.